CUAAGAAUCUUGCGCAAUGGGCGAAAGCCUGACGCAGCAAUUCCGCGUGGGGGACGAAGGCCCUCGGGUCGUAAACCCCUUUUGUGAGGGAAGAAGUUCUGACGGUACCUCACGAAUAAGACACGGCUAACUACGUGCCAGCAGCCGCGGUAAUACGUAGGUGUCGAGCGUUGUCCGGAUUUAUUGGGCGUAAAGAGCCCGCAGGCGGCUUGGUAAGUUCGAGGUGAAAUCUCCCGGCUCGACUGGGAGGGUGCCUCGAAAACUAUCAGGCUUGAGGCAGGGAGAGGGAUGUGGAAUUCCCGGUGUAGUGGUGAAAUGCGUAGAUAUCGGGAGGAACACCAGUGGCGAAGGCGGCAUCCUGGCCCUGUCCUGACGCUCAGGGGCGAAAGCGUGGGGAGCAAAC
Molecule: ribosomal RNA, 403 nt
Filed under: uncultured bacterium
Lineage: Bacteria
Description: bacterial SSU rRNA
Rfam family: Bacterial small subunit ribosomal RNA
Source: RNAcentral